GUCUACGGCCAUGCCACCCUGAACAAGCCCGAUCCCGUCUGAUCUCAGAAGCUAAGCAGGGUCGGGCCUGGUUAGUACUUGGAUGGGAAACCGCCUAGGAAGACCAGGUGCUGUAGGCA
RNAcentral lists this ribosomal RNA (119 nucleotides) under Pteropus alecto (black flying fox). Lineage: Eukaryota; Metazoa; Chordata; Mammalia; Chiroptera; Pteropodidae. The record is from RNAcentral.